GUCAAUAUGUCCGAGUGGUUAAGGAGAUAGACUUGAAAUCUAUUGGGCUUCGACCGCGCAGGUUCGAACCCUGCUGUUGACG
This is a non-coding RNA of Lupinus angustifolius (narrow-leaved blue lupine), 82 nucleotides long. The record is from Rfam. Lineage: Eukaryota; Viridiplantae; Streptophyta; Magnoliopsida; Fabales; Fabaceae.